Molecule: ribosomal RNA, 497 nt
Filed under: uncultured bacterium
Lineage: Bacteria
Description: partial 16S ribosomal RNA
Rfam family: Bacterial small subunit ribosomal RNA
Source: RNAcentral
GAUGAACGCUGGCGGCGUGCCUAAUACAUGCAAGUCGAGCGAACGGACGAGAAGCUUGCUUCUCUGAUGUUAGCGGCGGACGGGUGAGUAACACGUGGAUAACCUACCUAUAAGACUGGGAUAACUUCGGGAAACCGGAGCUAAUACCGGAUAAUAUUUUGAACCGCAUGGUUCAAAAGUAAAAGACGGUCUUGCUGUCACUUAUAGAUGGAUCCGCGCUGCAUUAGCUAGUUGGUAAGGUAACGGCUUACCAAGGCAACGAUGCAUAGCCGACCUGAGAGGGUGAUCGGCCACACUGGAACUGAGACACGGUCCAGACUCCUACGGGAGGCAGCAGUAGGGAAUCUUCCGCAAUGGGCGAAAGCCUGACGAAGCAACGCCGCGUGAGUGAUGAAGGUCUUCGGAUCGUAAAACUCUGUUAUUAGGGAAGAACAUAUGUGUAAGUAACUGUGCACAUCUUGACGGUACCUAAUCAGAAAGCCACGGCUAACUACGUG